GAAUCAUGUAUUUCCAUGGUUUCUGCACGUUCUUGGCUUCCCAGGGUUCUCCUCUGCAGUUUGGGUAAAAGCUAGACCUGUUCUCACCAGGGAGAGGAGCCACAGAUGCCCAGGCCCAGUCCUUCCUCGUGCUCACGGACCCCAUCGAGGCGUGUGGGCCCCUGGGGACGGCACAGGCACUGGAAGGUGUGAGCCCCUAGCAGGGUCCUGGCAUCUCUCUGUCAUCAGCCAGCCCAGUGACCUGGGGCCUGGCCCUGCUCCCGGAACCUAUGCCUCAUCUGUAAACAGGGAAAGGGUCCCAACCCUCUCCAGCCGCGUGUGAAAGCGUUACCCAUGUGAGAAGGGGUUACAGUUAGACCCUGUGGAACAGCAGACCCCGCCACGCCAUGCCCAGGCUCAUGGAUGUGUGGGCUGAAGGCAUGACCUCGCCCCCCCUCCUCAACCUGGUCCGAGCCUGUGGGAGUAUUUCCCGGUCGUCCCCGUGGGCCCGUCUACCUUCACCGCUGCUCGUCGGCUUUGGGGACAGAAAUCACAUCGGGCGCCAUGGAGAGACGGAGACCUCCAGGUAAGAAGAGCGUCCCCGCUGAGACGGCCUGCCGCCCCCUCCCCCCGCAGAGAGACCCGGCGGUGCCCGCAAGCUCUCCCUGUCCCCUCCUGCGUCCCACAGCCCUGAUGAACGACCAGCAGGACAGCCCCUCGCAGACCCUCACCCUACUCACUGGGGCCUCAGCGGGAGGUCAAGUCUCCCUUCUGGAGCCUUCUCUGUCCCACGUCCGUCCUUCCGUCUGGCUGAGGAAAGUUCUCCCAGAUCUGGGAGCUGAGCGGGAGCCAAGUGAGCAGACGUGGACGGUGCUGACCUCGAGCCUCGGGGCAGGGGGCGUGAGGGCACUGCGGGGGGAAGGGCAGCCGGAGCCUCGCUCAGAGACUCACUCGGGCUCUGCACGGCCCCCCGGCUUCCUGUCGGCCUUGAAGGGCCGAGGUCGGAGGCGAGGAAGGAUUCUGACACUGUGGGGAGCCGGGGCCCCGUCCUCAGUUCCGCUUCCCUCUGUCCGGAGUCCGUGUGAUUUGUGUCCCGAACGGAGCUCGCGUCAUCUGUCUCCUGCCCAGUGAGCCUCGGCGGCGAGAAGCAGGGACACUCUGUCCCUUGGUUCAAAAUGGGGACACGAGGACCAUAAUCACGCAGCAGACACUGUUCCGAGCACUUUUCAUGAUGAACUCAUUUACGCUCCCAACCGCCUUGUUUCCAUCAGCAUCUCACCGCCGAGAAGACAGGGCCGUCCCAGAGUCCCCAAGGCCCCGUGGUGAGGGUUUGGGGCCCUGGGUUGGCGGACCCGGGAGCGACGCCCCCCAGCCGAGCUCUCAGCCAGCACGCCGCGCCGCCUCCAUCCUCCCAGGGUGCGAGGUCGUGGCCACCCACCCGCAGGCUGCCCGUCCCUCUGUCUCUCCUCCGUGGCUCUGUCCUUCCGCACGACUGCAGCUCUGGCCCUGACAAGCCUCGGGCCGCUGUCCGGACGAGGGGGCAGGGAAGGAAGACGUGAAGACGCGCGUUGCCGCGGGCGUGAUCACGCGCACCGGGCUGCUCGCACGGGUCGGACGCGCUCGCGUCUGGCUGACAGCCCUCUCCUGCCUGUGCGCGGGGUCGAGCUCCCUGCCGACCCCUCCUCUGGGCCCUCGUCGUCCUCACCCUGCCGUCCGUCCCCACACCUCCCACCACCCUCACGCCCCCCAGGAGAACCUUUCUGCUCUUCCCCGAACGAUCCCCGAGUUCCAACAAUGCUGCCUUUUGCCAAGGCGUCAGCUUCACCUAUGGAAGGAAACUCAUGGGAUUUUCUGUGAUGAACCAUCCAAAAGGGAGGGACAUAGGGAGUGGGUUGUAUGGAUUAGUCAAAUGAUAACCAGGCCGGUCCAGUCACCCACGGCCCGGGCAGCUGACCCUGUGACCAGGGACACGCUCCUGGCUCCGGUGUGAAGACGGGAUGGCCCGAGAGCUCGUUCUCGCGUGUGUCACACCGCGUGCAUUCAAACGCCAGCAGGCAGGCAACCGCCCGGGGACAGCCGGGGACAGCGUGAGCCCAGGACACAAUGGAGUCUUUGUGUUUCCAUCUGCAGCGAAGAGAGGAAAACAGCCUCGAUCAACAGCUGACGCACAUGGCCGCUGGGUUGUCAAACAGACACGGCCUUCCAGCGGGCUCCGUAGAGCCACGCCCCAGCUCCCUUGUCGUUGCGCUCCGUCCACGUUACGCUCCUGGGAGGCUGCCCCCUCGGGACAGGGCUGCAGACCAACGACAGGAUGAAGACAAGAAAGAGUGAUCCUGAUUUCCACUCGGUGUUGGAACAACGACACCACUGACGGCGCCCGCGGGACGUUCGACGCCCGACCGUCUCCCUCCUCCUUCCCGGCGGAGGCCGGCUCAGCCGCCGUCUGGCUGAAGAGCGGCAGCUGGUGUGUACGGAGUGUGUGGCGGCAGAGAGUGCGGCUCGCCUCGUCCGAGGGCCUCCCUCGGGACCAGGCUUCUUGAGCCCUUGGGGCGGCGGCGGCCACACGGCCGGACUGGGGCCGUGGGUGUGCGUACAGUCCAGAUGGGCCACCAGGUGGCCGGUGUGGGUCCUGCCAGCCUCGUCACUCUCCCCUGGCCCCUGGAUUUGCCAGUCCUGGACCAGAGGAGGACCAAACCGAAGGCCCCACGGCUGGUGCCCAGUGGACACGCGGCGCCAUCACAGAGCGUCUGCUACGAGUCGGACCCCGUCCCAACACCUGCGGCUGAGGCCGCCCUUUCACAGCUCCGUGUGCCGCGGCCGCUCUGGGCAAAGCCAGGGGAGUGCACUCCUGACCCAGGUUUCCAGUGCGACAUGCGUUCCACCGGGCAUGACUCCUGCUUGGUUUCUCUGCAUCCCGAUGGAUUUCGAAUCCCAUAUUUGUUACCUCCAAUGCAGUCAUCUUCAAAGAACCCACUGGCUCAGAUAUCUGCAUUAAUCAUAAACUCAGUCUCUCAGAGAAAAGCUCGUGCCCAGGGCUCCCUUCCACGCUCCACACCACGGCAGAAGAUCCCAGGACCGCAAGCAAGACCUAAAAAUACUCCAUGGCCUCAAUUAGGAAGAGCAGUUGGUGCAAGGAAACUGAGCCAGAUGGGGUCGGGAGCUUCUCCUGGCCUUCUCACAGGGGCAGCGGGGUCCCCAGCGGACAGGGCCUGGGGACAAACAGGCUUCCAAGUGUAACGUGCUGCUCGGGUCAGAGCUUGGAGCCUUCCAGAACUCAGCCCGGGCUCCACCCCUCAGGCAGGCCAGCUAGACAGGCUCAUUUCUCACAAA
Long non-coding RNA from Mustela erminea (ermine), 3309 nucleotides. RefSeq lists it as uncharacterized. Lineage: Eukaryota; Metazoa; Chordata; Mammalia; Carnivora; Mustelidae. The transcript has 2 exons. The record is from RefSeq and is a predicted model, not a curated record.